This 467-nucleotide ribosomal RNA is filed under the name uncultured bacterium. RNAcentral's name for it is "bacterial SSU rRNA". It matches the Rfam family "Bacterial small subunit ribosomal RNA", at positions 355 to 825 of the family's 1533-position model. The record is from RNAcentral.
UAGGGAAUAUUGGACAAUGGGUGAGAGCCUGAUCCAGCCAUGCCGCGUGCAGGAAGAAGGCGUUAUGCGUUGUAAACUGCUUUUUGCCAGGGGAUAAAAUGACCGUGCGCGGUUAAUUGAAGGUACCUGGUGAAUAAGCCACGGCUAACUACGUGCCAGCAGCCGCGGUAAUACGUAGGGACCAAGCGUUGUUCGGAUUUACUGGGCGUAAAGGGCGCGUAGGCGGCAAUUCAAGUCAUCUGUGAAAUCUCCGGGCUUAACUCGGAACGGUCAGAUGAUACUGCUUUGCUAGAGUGCAGAAGGGGCAAUCGGAAUUCUUGGUGUAGCGGUGAAAUGCGUAGAUAUCAAGAGGAACACCUGAGGUGAAGACGGGUUGCUGGGCUGACACUGACGCUGAGGUGCGAAAGCCAGGGGAGCAAACGGGAUUAGAUACCCGCGUAGUCCCUGAGCGGGCUGGCAAGGCGCAU